UUAAGAUACUAAGAGCAUACGGUGGAUGCCUUGGCGAUAUCUGCCGACGAAGGACGUGACAAGCUGCGAAAAGCUGCGGAGAGAUGCAAAUAAUCGGCGACCCGCAGACAUCCGAAUGGAGAAAUCCGGCUGUGAUGAUGCACAGCCAUCCAUGCCCAAGAGCAUGAGAAGGGAACCGGGCGAACUGAAACAUCUAAGUAACCCGAGGAAAAGAAAUCAAACGAGAUACCCCAAGUAGCGGCGAGCGAACAGGGAAGAAGCCCAAACCGGUGAAGGAAACUUUACCGGGGUUGAGGACCAUCAGAACCGCGAAGAACCUUAGCCGAAACUGUUGGGAAACAGUGCCAAAGACAGUGAAAGCCUGGUAGGCGAAAAAGAGAAACGCGGAGAUGGCACCAGAGUACCGCGGGACACGAGAAAUCCCGUGGGAAGCCGGGGGGACCACCCUCCAAGGCAAAACACAGAUAUCGACCGAUAGCGCAUAGUACCAUGAGGGAAAGGUGAAAAGCACCCCGGGAGGGGAGUGAAAGAGAACCUGAAACCGUAUGUUUACAAGCAGUCGGAGACCGCUUAAUAAUAAGGUCGACGGCGUGCCUAUUGAAGAAUGAACCGGCGAGUUACGAAGCCUGGCAAGGUUAAGCAGGAAAUGCGGAGCCGAAGCGAAAGCGAGUCUUAAGAGGGCGCAAGUCAGGAAGCGUAGACCCGAAACCACAGUGAUCUACCCAUGUCCAGGUUGAAACACAGGUAAAAAUGUGUGGAGGACCGAACCUAUAUCCGUUGAAAAGGGUUAGGAUGAGGUGUGGGUAGGGGUGAAAUUCCAAUCGAACGUGGAGAUAGCUGGUUCUCCCCGAAAUAGCUUUAGGGCUAGCCUCAGGGAAAAGAUUGCAGGCGGUAGAGCACUGAUCAGGAGAGGGACCUACCCGGUUACCAAACCCAGUCAAACUCCGAAUGGCUGCAAUCAUACCUGGGAGUCAGACUGCGACUAAUAAGGGCCGCAGUCAAAAGGGAAACAGCCCAGACCAUCAGCUAAGGUCCCCAAUGCCGUGCUAAGUGGCGAAGGAUGUGGCAUUUCAUAAACAACCAGGAUGUUGGCUCAGAAGCAGCCACCAUUUAAAGAGUGCGUAAUAGCUCACUGGUCGAGAGACGCUGCGCCGAAAAUGUCCGGGGCUCAAGCACGGAACCGAAGCUAUGGCAUGAUAGCAAUAUCAUGGGUAGGGGAGCGUUCUUAUAAGGAAGAAGCAUGACCGGAAGGACAUGUGGACAAAUAAGAAGUGAGAAUGCCGGUAUGAGUAUCGAAAAGAAAGGUGAGAAUCCUUUCCACCGAAAGCCCGAGGGUUCCUGAGCAACGAUCGUCGACUCAGGGUAAGUCGGGACCUAAGCCGAGGCGGAAAGCGUAGGCGAUGGACAACAGGUUGAAAUUCCUGUACCGGAUCAAGUCGAUUGAGCGAAGGAGCGACGCAGGAGGGCACAUGAUCGCGCGGCUGGAAGAGCGCGUCCAAGUGCGUAUGUUGCAGCAGAGGAAAACCCCUGCAGCUAAAAGCAGAGACAUGAAGGGGAGUUAAAGGAAACUUUGACGAACUCAUGAAUCCCACACUGCCAAGAAAAACUUCUAGCGAGACAAGAUCCGCCCGUACCGUAAACCGACACAGGUAGGCGGGGAGAGAAUCCUAAGGUGCGCGGGAAAACCCUCGUUAAGGAACUCGGCAAAUUGCAUCCGUAACCUAGGGAGAAGGAUGGCCCCCGGUCAGUGAAGAGCAGAAACGCUCAGAGCUAAAAGGGGCGGCAGAAAAGAGGCCCAAGCAACUGUUUACCAAAAACACAGGUGCCUGCGAAAGCGAAAGCUGAAGUAUAGGUGCUGACGCCUGCCCGGUGCCGGAAGGUUAAGGAGAGAAGUUAGCGAAAGCGAAGCAUCGAACUGAAGCCCCGGUGAACGGCGGCCGUAACUAUAACGGUCCUAAGGUAGCGAAAUUCCUUGUCGGGUAAG
This 1984-nucleotide ribosomal RNA is filed under the name human gut metagenome. RNAcentral describes it as "bacterial LSU rRNA". It matches the Rfam family "Bacterial large subunit ribosomal RNA", at positions 1 to 1980 of the family's 2925-position model. The record is from RNAcentral.